UAAAUAAUUUUCUAGAUCCGGCCCUGACUCUCUUCCACUGUAGAAAAGUGAAGCAGGCAAUGUCAAAUAUGGCGCUGAUAUCUUGAAACCCGAGUCUACGCAGUAGUGAGCGUGAAGUGGAGCCGCGGUAUCAAGGCCCCGCCCACACUCCCGCAGAAUCAGUUAGUACAGUUUACUGCAGAAUAACUCAUUAUGUCUGUGUGAAAUAAACAAUCGUGGAAAUGUAGGAAUUAAAGUUCCCGAAAAUCAUGAAAAAAGUCAGUUGGUGCCUCAGUGACUACUUCGCUCAGAGAAGCUGUUAAUCAUGAUGUCAAACCCCUGUUUUUAUAGCAUCAAAUAUCUAACUAUACCCAAACUUAUUUAAAAAACGAACACUUGAACUUACAUCAGCGCGAUAAAAACUACAUAAAAUGACAGAAACCAUCUUUGGAAAAAAAUUAUUUGAAGUGUAAUUUGAUUGUUUAGUUUGUCUCACAUCCCAUUAGAUUACAUAGAGAGGGCGGGGUUUAUGACCUAUACUGGGACCAACCACUUGGGGGCAAUCGAGACACUUUGGCUUCACUUUUCACUUCUCUUGUGCGGCUGUCACAGAGACUAACUCCGUGAUUCCCUCCUCUGGCCAUCAGAGGGCUCCCUCACCCGAAUAUUAACCCUCACACUUACACACUACAUUUCCCAUCAGCCCCGUACCUGGCACUGAUUACGUUGCUCAGCUGCAGCUCAUUCCCUAGCCUAUAUAAACUGUCUCUUCACCAUUCCUCUUUGCGAGCUCUUGUAUUACUCUGGUUUGCAUUUCUGAGCGUUUAUUCUUGUUUUGCCUGCCUGUUGUGACCCAGUUUGUUCCCCGUUUAUGAUUCUCUGCUGCCUGCCUUUUGGACUAUUUGCUUUGUUUCUGAUCUGUGAUUGUUCUCCGCCUGCCCUGAUCUAAUGCCUGUUUAUCGACUACGACUGUGUCUGCUCUCCGUUACUGUGUUUGCUGGUGUCGGACCAUUGCCUGUUUGACCACGAUUCUAAUAAAAGCUUGCUUAUGGAUCCCACUUCGUGUGACGCCUCGUUACAGAGGCACACUUAAGCCUAACUAAAAUAAGUACUAAAAUAAGAACAAACAGUAGGACUAAUAAGUGCAACAGAACUGAGCAAAGGUACAAAUCAAAAUUAAGAGUGGUUUUGGGUAGGUUUAUGACAGAGAUUACUACAGAAAUUAAAACUAAUCAAUUGUAAAAAUUAAAAACUACAUAUUCCACUCUGUAUGAAUUAGAUAAAUUGAUUAUUAUUAAAGCUACAGAAGAUGUUCAGUCAACUUUUUCUUUCUUUAAACCUACCUACUCCACCGUUAAAUAUGAAGAGGGGCUUCCCCAUCCGAGUCUUCGGUUCUUCGUCAUCUGCUUAAGGAGUUUUCCUUGCCACUGUCUCAUUUGCCUUAUUCAAGAGGAAUUAAAAAGCACUAUUCUUUGUCUUAAUCUAUUAAUUAAGAUCACUGAUAAUGUAGCAGACUUCAUGAACUGAUUACUAUUGUUACAACUAAGUAAACAGGUACAUUGUAACAGUUAGAGAGAUGCCCACAGGUGUUGUUUUUUAACAAAUUAAUAAACCAAAAAACAACAUAAAGCUGUGUGUUGGCCUUCAGAAAUGUUGGAUCAUUCAGCUGAUAUGCAAACUUUCUUGCUUCCAGCAAGUUUCACUUUAUCAUAGGAACCAACCUGUGAUAUGACAAUGCCUUCAUCUACCAGCUGAUUUAAAACUUUAAACCUGCUCAAAGUCACAUGGUAGAGGGAAUAAACAUUUUCAGGUGAACUAUCCCUUUAAGAAGUAGAAUGACCAAAAAAAUCAUAUCAAAUGCAUUCCCUCUAUCCUGCAGUAAUAGAAAAUCUCCGCCUCUUGCGAGGGUGUAAUGUGUAACAUUCAAAUAAAAGCCCGAGAUCGACUCUGCCGUUCACAUUUACAUCACAGAGAAUCGACAGACGCAGAGAACAAUCAUCUGUGGCAAACGUGACCUGAGUAUGGCUUCCAAAACUCAAAUACUACUACUGCUGCUAGUGGCUGUAAUGAUUGCAAGCUAUGGUCUAACCAAUGCAAACAACACAUCAACGACAGAAACAACAGCGACACAAACAACACCACCAACAGCGACACAAACAACAAUAACAACAACCAGGAUCACAGUCAACAGCACCGCUGGAUCUCUUUCUCCUGUGGGGAUGGUGGGUCUGCCUGGUCUUCUGAUCUACACGCUCACCUCCGCUGCGCUUCUCAAACUCUUCCAGCUCAUCUGAUCAUCAUGAUCAUCGUCUCCCUCAGUCUGUCACACAGCUAAACCUACGGGAUGUGCCUGUGACUGUGUCUGCACAUGUUUUUAGCAGAUUUGUUUUUGCAGAUACUUACUACUCUAAUAAAAAUGUAUAAUAAUAUAAAAAUCAAAAUCUAUAAAAAUGUAGAAAAAAAUAUGUAUGAUUGUAUAUGAAGACUUAAGAAUAAAGAAGGAAAAAAACACUUUUGUUGACUGUGCUGAUAUUUCUAAAUGACCUUCCACCUGCAGAAUGGUUAAAGACAGGUGUUUAUAGGCAAAUUAUUAAAAAGGGUAUGUGUGUGUCGUGAGGAGUGGGCAUUUGAGUCAUUUUAUUAAAGUGAAAUAAGGUGGUUUUUAUACCAAAAUUUUAGAUCUCAUUGAAUUUUCACAAUUCUUUAUACCCAUUUUGAUAUUGCAGAAAAAAUAUAUACUAAUAUAAGUUACUUAUUGAAGACAAUUAAAUAAUCAGUACUAAAAUAAGAACAAAGAAACUAAUUAUAGGACAAACAAUAGAACAAAUAAAUGCAUCGGAAUAAAUGUACAAAUCAAAAUAAAGAGUGCUUUCAGUUUUUCAGGUAGGUCUAUAACAGAAGAUUACUAAAUCAACUAAUCAAAUGUAAAAUUAAAAACUGCAUAGUCCACACUGUAUGAAUUAAUUAAAUAAAUUGAUUAUUAUUAAAGCUACAGAAGAUGUUCAGUCAAGAGCAGCGAGUCUUUCUCUCUUUUUCUUUCUUUAAACCUACCUACUCCACCGUUAAAUAUGAAGAGGGGCUUCCCCACCCGAGUCUUCGGUUCUUCGUCAUCUGCUUAAGGAGUUUUCCUUGCCACUGUCUCAUUUGCCUUAUUCAAGAGGAAUUAAAAAGCACUAUUCUUUGUCUUAAUCUAUUAAUUAAGAUCACUGAUAAUGUAGCAGACUUCAUGAACUGAUUACUAUUGUUACAACUAAGUAAACAGGUACAUUGUAACAGUUAGAGAGACCAAAAAACAACAUAAAGCUGUGUGUUGGCCUUCAGAAAUGUUGGAUCAUUCAGCUGAUAUGCAAACUUUCUUGCUUCCAGCAAGUUUCACUUUAGGAACCAACCUGUGAUAUGACAAUGCCUUCAUCUGCCAGCUGAUUUAAAACUUUAAACCUGCUCAAAGUCACAUGGUAGAGGGAAUAAACAUUUUCAGGUGAACUAUCCCUUUAAGAAGAAGAAUGACCAAAAAAAUCAUAUCAAAUGCAUUCCCUCUAUCCUGCAGUAAUAGAAAAUCUCCGCCUCUUGCGAGGGUGUAAUGUGUAACAUUCAAAUAAAAGCCCGAGAUCGACUCUGCCGUUCACAUUUACAUCACAGAGAAUCGACAGACGCAGAGAACAAUCAUCUGUGGCAAACGUGACCUGAGUAUGGCUUCCAAAACUCAAAUACUACUACUGCUGCUAGUGGCUGUAAUGAUUGCAAGCUAUGGUCUAACCAAUGCAAACAACACAUCAACGACAGAAACAACAGCGACACAA
Megalobrama amblycephala (Wuchang bream) is the source of this 3779-nucleotide long non-coding RNA. RefSeq lists it as uncharacterized. The transcript is spliced from 3 exons. The record is from RefSeq and is a predicted model, not a curated record. Lineage: Eukaryota; Metazoa; Chordata; Actinopteri; Cypriniformes; Xenocyprididae.